UUAAAAAUUGGAAGAGAGAAGGAGAUAGCAGGAGAGGUAGAGCGAGAGAGCGUCCCUCUGGAGUUGACAUUUGGAGUAUGCGACGACAGAGAUUUUGUUGUUUUCACUUCUGGUAAUAUCUCUUUUUUUCUCAAGUUCCGAUUUCUACUCCGUUGAUUGAGUUGUUUUCUUUCUGAAUUGGAUUUUUAUGAGAGGUCCUUUAGGGCUUGGGUUUGAAUUUUUGGUUUAUUUGGAUAUGGGUUGUGUUUUGGUGGUGUAUUUCACGAUGGUGGGGGAUUUGAGGAAGAAUGCGAACAAAAUCUGAAAUCCACCCUGGAUGGAUUGGAUUUUGGGGUUUUGAUUAUUUCUUGUUGAUUUGGUUUUCGGAUUGGGGAUUAGUUUUGUUCAUGAAUUGGUUGGAAAUUUGAAGCUUUGAUGAUGCAUUAACAGUUUUGAUGAUGGAAAACCAAUCUAAAAUUGCACAGUUCUGCAGUUAUUUUUCCAUAGCUUCCAUGGCAUCAACUAUGUCAUUAUUAGUGUUUGCCAUAUUCCUGCAGGUUGGGCAGUAGCUAUAGACGAGGAGUAGCUAUACUCAAUUUCACCAAUUCUAAAACAUUAACAUUAAUAUGUAAUACCUAAAUAACAAAGCAAUUUUCCUUUGUUUCUCUCUUAUAUUGGCUUUAACCCUAUGUUUAAAUCUAAUCAACACAAGUAAUGAACUACUUGAAAUUUG
RNAcentral lists this long non-coding RNA (712 nucleotides) under Vitis vinifera (wine grape). Its description in RNAcentral is "long non-coding RNA (VVIN_LNC005831)". Lineage: Eukaryota; Viridiplantae; Streptophyta; Magnoliopsida; Vitales; Vitaceae. The record is from RNAcentral.